Small nucleolar RNA from Erigeron canadensis, 91 nucleotides. RefSeq annotates it as small nucleolar RNA Z159/U59. Lineage: Eukaryota; Viridiplantae; Streptophyta; Magnoliopsida; Asterales; Asteraceae. The record is from RefSeq and is a predicted model, not a curated record. The transcript has a single exon.
GUCUCUGAUGAUGAAUCAACAAAUAAUAACUUUCGUUCUUCUGAUUUAAUAAGCAUGUUGAAAAUAUUUUGGAGACCUGAACUGAAGAGAU